This 939-nucleotide ribosomal RNA is filed under the name Triticum aestivum (bread wheat). Its description in RNAcentral is "partial small subunit ribosomal RNA". The record is from RNAcentral. Lineage: Eukaryota; Viridiplantae; Streptophyta; Magnoliopsida; Poales; Poaceae.
AUGGCGAGGUCACGGGUCGUCAUGGACAAACUUGAACAAGAACUCGAUGCCAUGCAUUCUGCUGAAAACGGAGGUGUCGCGGACAAUGAAGCCAUUGAGCAGGAUAUUGCUACAAUGUUAUCCGAGAUGAACCAUCUGGGAGCUAUUGACCCAUUCGACAACGAGGAAGAGGAGCAACAGCAACCAGAGCUUGCCCAUGUGCACACUCAAGAGCACCAACAUGCUCAGAUGCAAGAUCAUGAGCUUGAUGGUGCUGUAGGCGAACGACAUGACAACAGGACAUCCUACCAGCAGCAGCAGGAAAGGGUGAUUAAACCACCCAUAUUCUCAAACACAAAGGGGAGGAAGAGUAAGACACAAGCAACGAAAGCAGUGAAAGCAGCAGCCAAAAAGCUGCCACGCCCCGUCAAGCGUGUGGAAUUUGGCCCGGACGGCAAACCUCUCAGGGUGAGGGCAUGUGGAUUCUACAACGUCGUGAGCAACCAUAAUUAUCGCACAUGCACACUCCGCACAGAUGGCACUGUCAACAAGCAAACGCUGCACAAGCAGAUUGGAGCUGCCCAAGUUUCUACCAAUGGAGACGACACACGUGACAAGCGGAUGCUGAACAAGUCUGGUUUGGAGAUCAACCCCAACAACUUCAUCGACAUGCAGCGCAAGUGGAAAGAUCCAAAGACCGACAAAUACUACGACUCCUUGGCCGAUGUUGUAGGCGGUGUAAUCCACCCAUUCUACAGCGGCAUGAAGAAGAAGAUGGACAAGGCAGACCACAAACUAUGGGGGACCAGCCCGCUGCCAGACAACCUCAUCACGUACACAGGAAUAGAUGCGUACGCCACGUACAAGUCAUGGAAGACAAUCGACAACACCGUGACAGGUUGGGAUAUUUCAAAAGAGCAGGAGGCUGACCCCUACUACCACUGCAGCUUCGUGGGAUGA